UACGUAGGGAGCAAGCGUUGUCCGGAAUCAUUGGGCGUAAAGCGCGCGUAGGCGGCCCGAUAAGUCCGCUGUAAAAGUCAACGGCUCAACUGUUGAAAGCCGGUGGAUACUGUCGGGCUAGAGUACGGAAGAGGCAAGUGGAAUUCCUGGUGUAGCGGUGGAAUGCGCAAAUAUCAGGAGGAACACCCAUAGCGAAGGCAGCUUGCUGGGACGUUACUGACGCUAAGGCGCGAAAGCGUGGGGAGCGAACAGG
RNAcentral lists this ribosomal RNA (253 nucleotides) under uncultured bacterium. RNAcentral describes it as "partial 16S ribosomal RNA". It matches the Rfam family "Bacterial small subunit ribosomal RNA", at positions 524 to 776 of the family's 1533-position model. The record is from RNAcentral.